Molecule: ribosomal RNA, 1372 nt
Filed under: uncultured bacterium
Lineage: Bacteria
Description: bacterial SSU rRNA
Rfam family: Bacterial small subunit ribosomal RNA
Source: RNAcentral
GAUGAACGCUGGCGGCGUGCCUAAUACAUGCAAGUCGAGCGAACGGACGAGAAGCUUGCUUCUCUGAUGUUAGCGGCGGACGGGUGAGUAACACGUGGAUAACCUACCUAUAAGACUGGGAUAACUUCGGGAAACCGGAGCUAAUACCGGAUAAUAUUUUGAACCGCAUGGUUCAAAAGUGAAAGACGGUCUUGCUGUCACUUAUAGAUGGAUCCGCGCUGCAUUAGCUAGUUGGUAAGGUAACGGCUUACCAAGGCAACGAUGCAUAGCCGACCUGAGAGGGUGAUCGGCCACACUGGAACUGAGACACGGUCCAGACUCCUACGGGAGGCAGCAGUAGGGAAUCUUCCGCAAUGGGCGAAAGCCUGACGGAGCAACGCCGCGUGAGUGAUGAAGGUCUUCGGAUCGUAAAACUCUGUUAUUAGGGAAGAACAUAUGUGUAAGUAACUGUGCACAUCUUGACGGUACCUAAUCAGAAAGCCACGGCUAACUACGUGCCAGCAGCCGCGGGUAUACGUAGGUGGCAAGCGUUAUCCGGAAUUAUUGGGCGUAAAGCGCCCGUAAGCCGGUUUUUUAGUCUGAUGUGAAAGCCCACGGCUCAACCGUGGAGGGUCAUUGGAAACUGGAAAACUUGAGUGCAGAAGAGGAAAGUGGAAUUCCAUGUGUAGCGGUGAAAUGCGCAGAGAUAUGGAGGAACACCAGUGGCGAAGGCGACUUUCUGGUCUGUAACUGACGCUGAUGUGCGAAAGCGUGGGGAUCAAACAGGAUUAGAUACCCUGGUAGUCCACGCCGUAAACGAUGAGUGCUAAGUGUUAGGGGGUUUCCGCCCCUUAGUGCUGCAGCUAACGCAUUAAGCACUCCGCCUGGGGAGUACGACCGCAAGGUUGAAACUCAAAGGAAUUGACGGGGACCCGCACAAGCGGUGGAGCAUGUGGUUUAAUUCGAAGCAACGCGAAGAACCUUACCAAAUCUUGACAUCCUUUGACAACUCUAGAGAUAGAGCCUUCCCCUUCGGGGGACAAAGUGACAGGUGGUGCAUGGUUGUCGUCAGCUCGUGUCGUGAGAUGUUGGGUUAAGUCCCGCAACGAGCGCAACCCUUAAGCUUAGUUGCCAUCAUUAAGUUGGGCACUCUAAGUUGACUGCCGGUGACAAACCGGAGGAAGGUGGGGAUGACGUCAAAUCAUCAUGCCCCUUAUGAUUUGGGCUACACACGUGCUACAAUGGACAAUACAAAGGGCAGCGAAACCGCGAGGUCAAGCAAAUCCCAUAAAGUUGUUCUCAGUUCGGAUUGUAGUCUGCAACUCGACUACAUGAAGCUGGAAUCGCUAGUAAUCGUAGAUCAGCAUGCUACGGUGAAUACGUUCCCGGGUCU